GACGAGCGCUGGCGGCGUGCUUAACACAUGCAAGUCGAACGGAAAGGCCCUUCGGGGUACUCGAGUGGCGAACGGGUGAGUAACACGUGGGUGAUCUGCCCUGCACUUUGGGAUAAGCCUGGGAAACUGGGUCUAAUACCGAAUAGGACCACGCGCUUCAUGGUGUGUGGUGGAAAGCUUUUGCGGUGUGGGAUGGGCCCGCGGCCUAUCAGCUUGUUGGUGGGGUAAUGGCCUACCAAGGCGACGACGGGUAGCCGGCCUGAGAGGGUGACCGGCCACACUGGGACUGAGAUACGGCCCAGACUCCUACGGGAGGCAGCAGUGGGGAAUAUUGCACAAUGGGCGCAAGCCUGAUGCAGCGACGCCGCGUGAGGGAUGACGGCCUUCGGGUUGUAAACCUCUUUCAAUAGGGACGAAGCGCAAGUGACGGUACCUAUAGAAGAAGCACCGGCCAACUACGUGCCAGCAGCCGCGGUAAUACGUAGGGUGCGAGCGUUGUCCGGAAUUACUGGGCGUAAAGAGCUCGUAGUGGUUUGUCGCGUUGUUCGUGAAAACUCACAGCUUAACUGUGGGCGUGCGGGCGAUACGGGCAGACUAGAGUACUGCGGGGGAGACUGGAAUUCCUGGUGUAGUGGUGGAAUGCGCAGAUAUCAGGAGGAACACCGGUGGCGAAGGCGGGUCUCUGGGCAGUAACUGACGCUGAGGAGCGAAAGCGUGGGGAGCGAACAGGAUUAGAUACCCUGGUAGUCCACGCCGUAAACGGUGGGUACUAGGUGUGGGUUCCUUCCUUGGGAUUCGUGCCGUAGCUAACGCAUUAAGUACCCCGCCUGGGGAGUACGGCCGCAAGGCUAAAACUCAAAGGAAUUGACGGGGGCCCGCACAAGCGGCGGAGCAUGUGGAUUAACUCGAUGCAACGCGAAGAACCAUACCUGGGUUUGACAUGCACAGGACGCCGGCAGAGAUGUCGGUUCCCUUGUGGCCUGUGUGCAGGUGGUGCAUGGCUGUCGUCAGCUCGUGUCGUGAGAUGUUGGGUUAAGUCCCGCAACGAGCGCAACCCUUGUCCUAUGUUGCCAGCGGGUUAUGCCGGGGACUCGUAGGAGACUGCCGGGGUCAACUCGGAGGAAGGUGGGGAUGACGUCAAGUCAUCAUGCCCCUUAUGUCCAGGGCUUCACACAUGCUACAAUGGCCGGUACAAAGGGCUGCGAUGCCGUGAGGUGGAGCGAAUCCUUUCAAAGCCGGUCUCAGUUCGGAUCGGGGUCUGCAACUCGACCCCGUGAAGUCGGAGUCGCUAGUAAUCGCAGAUCAGCAACGCUGCGGUGAAUACGUUCCCGGGCCU
This 1336-nucleotide ribosomal RNA is filed under the name uncultured bacterium. Its description in RNAcentral is "bacterial SSU rRNA". It matches the Rfam family "Bacterial small subunit ribosomal RNA", at positions 28 to 1381 of the family's 1533-position model. The record is from RNAcentral.